RNAcentral lists this ribosomal RNA (254 nucleotides) under uncultured bacterium. Its description in RNAcentral is "partial 16S ribosomal RNA". It matches the Rfam family "Bacterial small subunit ribosomal RNA", at positions 524 to 776 of the family's 1533-position model. The record is from RNAcentral.
UACGGAGGGGGCUAGCGUUGUUCGGAAUUACUGGGCGUAAAGGGCGCGCAGGCGGCUGCUCAAGUCAGGCGUGAAAGGCCUGGGCUCAACCCGGGAAUUGCGCUUGAGACUGGGCUGGCUUGAGUGCGGGAGAGGAUGGUGGAAUUCCCAGUGUAGAGGUGAAAUUCGUAGAUAUUGGGAAGAACACCGGUGGCGAAGGCGGCCAUCUGGACCGCAACUGACGCUGAGGCGCGAAAGCGUGGAGAGCAAACAGG